GUCACUUAUUAACUUGUUCCUAGAUAACCUUUUGAAAAAGACAUUUUUCAUUUGCUAGAGGGGAUUGCAAGCUUUUAGAGUUCCACAGUUUUAGGAAUAUGCUUUUUUUUGACGAUGCUGAUAAGUAUAUAACUGUAACGGGUUCUGUACAGUGCAUACAAAUGUAAUGCACGAUUAUUUCUGUGUAUAUAUAUUUUUUCUAUUGCUCCUUUUCUUUAGAGCUAAAUAGACUUGUUAUUCUGUUUCCUGCAGAGAGAUGAAGAAUGUGCAUUUCUCCAUCAAAGAGCUUUAUGAAGUAAACAGGGACAACAGCAAAUGGAAAAAAAGAGCAUUUCCUUUUCUAAGGAUGUGCAAGGCAGUAGAAGCACUGAUUUUUUUUAUUAUUUGUUUUUACACUAAAGUUUUGGCACUCAAAAAAAAAAAGACAUUUGCCUCAAAAGCAGACAAUGUAGCAGUGUGCAAAUGGAGUUUCCUUUUUGCUUUUGUCUUUACUACCUAUGUAUAUAAUUAUAUGUAGCAUAUUAAAAUAUAACAUUAUGAUGAGAAAAACCAUAUAGUGUGAAUGACUUGAAGAAUUGCUGUGCAGUUUUCAAAACAACCCCCAAUCAUACUCCCAGGUUAAAAAAAAAAAAAAAAGAUGUUUUAUUAACUUCAAUAUUGUCAGGGUUUAAAACACUGACAAGUUAUCCAUUUCAAAAAUAAUCACAAAGGACCGAGGUCCUCCAUUAAAAAGCUCCCAUAGAAAAACGUUCACAGUUUAAACAGAACUGGUGUCCAACCAUUUGAGACACCAGGAGAAAUUUUUUUUUGUAUUAUUGGUGAUACUAUAGAAGUGUGUAUGGUACUUAAUUAUGUGAAGUUUAUUUAAAAAUCUGCCAAAGUUGCAACACAUUCAGGCAGGGAUAUUCUUUUUUAGGGUGUGGUUUUAUGGUUUUGACAGUGUUUCACAGUAUUAUUAUAUCCCUGGGUUAUUCCACUAGUUUCUUUUCUCCCUAGAUUAUGUUUUGAAUUUUUUUUCUUUAUGAAUGACAAAACCUACUGAGUAAAUAAUAAUUUUAAAAAGGAAACUGAAAUUAACAGCAAAUUUUCUUCAGUAACGUUUCGUGUAUUUUUUUUUUUCUUGCACCGUUGUAUAACAAAUUUUUAGAUUAUAUUUUUUUAAACACUGGUCCAUAUUUGUUUUUGGGUUGUUUUUAAGUCCCUAAAUCUAGUCAUUUGCAGUCACACAUGGUAUUCAUGUUGAACAUGAUGUUCCACUAUCCACCCCAAAAAUAAAACAAAAACUAGACGUUACACUGCAUGUGUAAAAUUCUGAAGUGUACCUGUGUAUAUUGCUUUGUAAAAACACUGAGGAAAUUAUACUAACUUAUUUAUGUUAAGCUUUUUUGUUGUUGUUGUUCAUGACUAUCCAAAGUGGCAUUUGUGUUUUGUUUUUUUUUAACUACCUUUUUUUUUCUUUUUUCUUUUUUUUUACCGAAAAGUUUAUUUUCAAAUUUUUUAAAGAAUUUGUGCAAGGUUGCAAACUGAGCCUAUGUUAAAUUUUGAUGUGGAUUUUGUAUUGCUUGUUUAAAGAGAUCAUUAAUAAAAAAAAUAAAA
This is a long non-coding RNA of Ictalurus punctatus (channel catfish), 1596 nucleotides long. The record is from Ensembl. Lineage: Eukaryota; Metazoa; Chordata; Actinopteri; Siluriformes; Ictaluridae.